Molecule: long non-coding RNA, 586 nt
Organism: Chinchilla lanigera (long-tailed chinchilla)
Lineage: Eukaryota; Metazoa; Chordata; Mammalia; Rodentia; Chinchillidae
Exons: 3
Source: RefSeq, a predicted model, not a curated record
GAUGUGUCGCUGGCGUCACUCCACACCAUUGUGCAACUUGCCCUUCUGACCAGUUUUGGGGGGGUUGCUGUACCCAGGGCUCGGCGCCACACAAAGCUCACGUGGUAAGCCCGGGUUAAACAGUAAGUGUGUUUGAAAAGCUCUGGAUACAAAUGACAAAGGCAGACGGGAGCCAGGCAUUCAAGAGUAGCAGCAGGCCGGUGCUCCGGGCAGCACUGCAGAACAGGGGUCCACACAGAGAGCCACAGCCAGGCAGCCAGGGCCAGGUCUGGUGCCUCUGUCUCCCAGGGCUGCUCCCUGGACACUGGUCUGGCACCACUGGAAGCGAGUGAAUGGGGAGCCCUGCUUGAGGGGCUGGCGACAUGGAAAUGCAGGAGAGUGUGCCAGAGCGGGGCUGAAGGUGAUGCCUCUCGAGCCCCUGGUAAGCCCAGGGCAGGGAGGCCCCGCUGCAGAGGACAGUGGUGACCAAAGUUGGGGCCAGCUCUGCUGAGGGCAGAUGCCACUGGAUGGAAGCAGCACCGAGCAGCUCCGCACAAUCUAUGAUCCCAGGGUCUUGCUAUGCAGUGCAGGCUGGCUGUGAACUCAC